UGAUUCUAGUGUCACUACCACAGGUGUUCAUGAGAAAUUUCUUCCAAGUGGGUGCAAAAGACCUUUGGAUUAUUUUAGGUGCAGGGACUGGUAGCAGGAGAUGGUGCCCUUGUCUUUGGGCAAGGCCAAUGGUGCUUGGAAGAUGUUCCAUAGCUACAAUGUUUAAAGAUUCAGCAUCUGACUCUUCAUGUGGAAUCAGAUUUUCAAACCAAGCAAGGGUAUAUAAAAAUGCAUUAUGCACAUUUGAACGUCUGCAUGUGUGAAGCUCUCGACAGUUCUGAUCAUAAGGAUUCUAUUGAUCUAAAUGGGUUAUUCUGUAGAAAAUCCUGUGAAUAAAUAAAAUAAUGACAGAAACA
RNAcentral lists this long non-coding RNA (356 nucleotides) under Anas platyrhynchos platyrhynchos (common mallard). RNAcentral describes it as "lncRNA (ENSAPLG00000019340.1)". Lineage: Eukaryota; Metazoa; Chordata; Aves; Anseriformes; Anatidae. The record is from RNAcentral.